CGUAGUGUUUGUUAUUUUGUCUCAAAUCAAAAUAUUAUCCGUGCUUUUAAGUCGCAGUCGCACACAUUCCAGCCUUCACUCGCUGUUCUGCUAACACCUAGAAAAAUAUACCCAGCUGGUCGCCGUCUGAUAUCUUAAUAGCAGAACCGCCGCAGAAAAAAAGGCAAAGCUUCAGCAGUGGAAGAAUGAAAAGAAUGCACUGCGGGCAUCGUGCAGGCUGACAGGUGUUCCCUCCCUGUGUGCUUCUUUGGCCUUGAUGAAGCUAUGGAGACGGUUACCAUGACAGACGAGUGACAGACAGACCCACCCAUGUACGGACCCAAACAGAGCCAGACCCAAAAGAGCCUGAGCAAAAAGAGCCAGACCCAAAAGAGCCUGAGCAAAAAACUCCCCGUGGACACAGGUGGAAUCACAGGUGGAUGUGGAGGACAUCUGAUCUAGAUGUGGGAGAUAGGCCGUGCUCGCUGGGAUUGGUCUGGAGUUGACAGAGUCGACAACAGACAUCAUCAUCCAGACAGGAUGAAGUGCAGCGGAAGACAACAUAUAUUGUUUUGGCUGAGAAUGACCUCUUGACAUCCUGACUGUGUAUAACGCUGGAGUUGGAGACAGGUGUGAGUGUGAGGUAAUGAGGUGUGAUUGUGUCGUGUUGUGAGUGUGUUAAUUGUAUGGGACACAGUCGUAGAAAUCGUAGAAAAGUUGUGUACAUUUAGAAUCACAUUUUCUGGAAAAGCCCUGGAAAAGUCCUGAAAACCAGUUCAAUUCAUUGAACUUUUUUCCCCCAUUCAU
Long non-coding RNA from Alosa sapidissima (American shad), 786 nucleotides. RefSeq lists it as uncharacterized. The transcript has 4 exons. The record is from RefSeq and is a predicted model, not a curated record. Lineage: Eukaryota; Metazoa; Chordata; Actinopteri; Clupeiformes; Clupeidae.